RNAcentral lists this ribosomal RNA (253 nucleotides) under uncultured bacterium. RNAcentral's name for it is "partial 16S ribosomal RNA". It matches the Rfam family "Bacterial small subunit ribosomal RNA", at positions 524 to 776 of the family's 1533-position model. The record is from RNAcentral.
UACGUAGGUGUCAAGCGUUGUCCGGAUUUAUUGGGCGUAAAGCGCCCGCAGGCGGCUUGCCAAGUUCGAUGUGAAAUCUCCCGGCUCAACUGGGAGGGUGCAUCGAAAACUGGCAGGCUUGAGGCAGGGAGAGGGAUGCGGAAUUCCAGGUGUAGCGGUGAAAUGCGUAGAUAUCUGGAGGAACACCGGUGGCGAAGGCGGCAUCCUGGGCCGGUACUGACGCUGAGGAGCGAAAGCGUGGGGAGCGAACAGG